Non-coding RNA from Doryrhamphus excisus (bluestripe pipefish), 5051 nucleotides. The record is from RefSeq and is a predicted model, not a curated record. Lineage: Eukaryota; Metazoa; Chordata; Actinopteri; Syngnathiformes; Syngnathidae.
AAGAGCAGUCAACGCCAUGGAUGUUUUGUUUACGAACGUGCUGGCAGACAUACUGCUGCUGACAUCAGCAGAGAUUUAGCUUGUCAGCUGACAUGUGUUCUGGAGAUGCUAACUUCUUAGCGUUGUACAUGAUUAUUAGUAUUAAUAUUUUAAAGAUGUCGAGUGCAUUGUGGAGGUCAACCAUUAAUUUAACCGACAGCUUCUCUUUGAAGCGGCUGUAGCUAGGUAGUUCCCCUGAACAACCGAAGCUAGUUUUAGCCUAUCUGUCACUAGCUAGUUAGCUAGCCCUAUGGAGGCUAUUCGAGUGCUAGCUAAGCUAUACAAAUAGGCCAGGUAAGUUAUUAAUUUAUGAUAUAAAUGUUGGCUAAAUGGCAAGAACCGACCAGGAUAAUGGGCUUGAUUUUAGGGGCAGCACAAAUAAGAUGACAGGUAGUGGUAGCGGUGGUGGGAGUAGUUGUAGUUCGUUUACCUCCGAUGUUGUGACACUGGAGGCGAAUGGCGCAGAUGACUCUUCUGGGGAGAAACAAGUGGACAAGUACGGCUUUACAGGUGGAUCUCAGCAGUACCCAGGCCUCAAUGUUGAAGAAAUCCCCACUGAGGUGCUGAGGCAACGGGAGGCCAAAUGGCUGGAAAUGCUCAACAGUUGGGACAAGUGGAUGGCCAAGAAACACAAGAAGGUGAAAGAGCGCUGUCAAAAGGGCAUCCCUCCGUCACUGCGUGGUCGGGCCUGGCUCUACCUGACGGGAGGCAAAGUGAAAGUGGAGCAAAAUCGGGGAAAGUUCCAGGAACUGGAUAACCAACCAGGUGACCCCAAAUGGGUGGACAUCAUUGAGCGAGACCUCCAUCGACAGUUUCCCUUCCAUGAAAUGUUCUCAGCUAGAGGAGGUCAUGGGCAGCAAGAUCUGUUCCGUGUGCUGAAGGCGUACACGUUGCACCGUCCCGAGGAGGGCUACUGUCAGGCUCAGGCUCCUGUCGCUGCUGUGCUCCUCAUGCACAUGCCAGCAGAGGAUGCUUUCUGGGUUCUCGUACAGAUUUGUGAGAAAUACCUUCCUGGAUACUACAGCACAGGGCUGGAAGCCAUCCAGCUAGACGGAGAGAUCCUGUACGCUCUGCUGCGGCGGGCAUCUCCCGUGGCACAUCGUCACCUCAAGCAACACAAGCUAGAACCCAUCUUGUACAUGACAGAGUGGUUCAUGUGCGCCUUCUCACGAACGCUGCCAUGGGCGUCAGUGCUCCGCGUCUGGGACAUGUUCUUAUGUGAAGGAGUGAAGAUCCUCUUCCGAGUGGGUCUGGUUCUCCUGAAAAGCAUGCUGGGAUCCCAAGAGAAGGUGAAGGCCUGCCAAGGUCUGUAUGAAACAAUGGAGCGUCUCAGGGCCAUACCUCCACAGUACAUGAAAGAGAGUUUUCUGGUGCAAGAGAUCAUAGACUUGCCCCUGUCGGAGAAAGACAUUGAGAAAGAGCACUUGGCGCAGCUACGAUGCUGGAAGGACACCCACGGCGACCUCAAUUACAAAUCGCCUCCCAGGAUGCACGGCGCUAAGGCAGUCAUGGCUGCCGAGCCGCCAAGUCGACAUGAUCUGAGACAGAGGCCCACCAUUAUCGUGGAAUCCCCCUUGGAGGACGCAAGGGAGGACACAAGGAAGGGCAAAAAGGGCAAGCGGAACGAAAUUAUUCCGUCGCCACAGGAGACGGAUAGUUCUCCCUCGCCACUCACUGAGCCCUCGCUGCUCCUCCAACCAGCACAAGGGUCCAGGGAGAGCAUAAGCAGCGCUGAGCAUGACACCUACCUGUAGCAGGGUGAGCACGCCAAUCAAUCCAUGACAGCUUCUUUAUUGUGUAUUUUCCAUUGAAGAACACUAGAUGGCGACAAUGAUGAGCUGUGCAGUCAUAAUGCCACAAGGACAGAAUGUAGCAGGUAUGCUUUUUUUCCAUUACUAAACAUGCUAACUGCUACUGCUGCCAUAGAGGGAGUAUGAUGGUGUUUCAGCAGACAAAUAUGGUCUCAGCCAAUCACCAGCUACAUCAUUAGGCACAUAUUAUUUUAAUGAGAUGCACAAAAACUGUGCAUUUCAGUCACCACUGUGAAAGAAGUAUUCCAUCCAUUCCUUUUCUAUACUGCUUGUUGAAUUUAACAGUAUGUUUAUUACGGCAUGAAUGUUUAUUAUUGGCAGUAAUAUUUAUCUAAAUAAGAAACACAGGAGUGCACCAAGUGGAUGUGACCAGUAGAGGCGCUGUUGAUUAAGUCUAAACUAGUUUGAACACUCCAGCUGUGGGAAUUUGAGCAACUGCACACCCACACUGACCUUUGCUAUAGCACAACUGUUUCAUUCAUUCAUUCAUUUUCUACCGCUUUUUCCUCACGAGGGUCACGGGGGGUGCUGGAGCCUAUCCCAGCCGUCUUCGGGCGAGAGGCGGGGUACACCCUGGACUGGUGGCCAGCCAAUCACAGGGCACAUAUAGACAAACAACCAUUCACACUCACAUUCAUACCUAUGGACAAUUUGGAGUCGCCAAUUAACCUAGCAUGUUUUUGGAAUGUGGGAGGAAAUCGGAGUACCAGGAGAAAACCCACGCAUGCACGGGGAGAACAUGCAAACUCCACACAGAGAUGGCCGAGGGUGGAAUUGAACCCUGGUCUCCUAGCUGUGAGGUCUACGCGCUAAACAGUAGACCGCCGUGCCGCCCACAACUGUUUCACACAGCAUAUAUUUGUCAGUAAUACAUACAUAUCAAUAUGAUGUUGAUACGUUUUUAGAAGAGAAGUGUAAUUACCCAACCUUCCACCUUAGGUGGUUUAGUAACGAGAACAACAUUUUAUUUUGCUACAAAAGUACAUCGUGUCAUAUGUAAAGAUGAAGGCAGAAUACUAAUUAGGGCCAAAAAUCAAAACACUACCUAAUGUACCUAAUGAUGUGGCCAGUGAGCGUCCAGCACUACGCUCUCAUGCACUACAUUACACCACCGGCACAGAUAAAGGAAUUUAUGUUGAGCAACAUUAUUGUGCCACGUUAGCUAAAACACAUGUAGCCUUUGGUGAGUGUAUUUAAUAAUAAUGCAACAGAAGAAAUUACACAACAUUGUCCUGCAAGCACAAUCCUGUUUACCUUUACCGAGCCAUGUGUUGUUGGCGGAUCAUUUGUUUUUUUCUACGUGUUCCAAAUGCAGUCAAAUGAAUGUACAAGUAUUUUUUUUUCAUUGAUAUGUGCUCCGGUUAUAUUUACUUUGGGAGGGAAAUCAAUUCUUCUAAUCAGGGGUAAACAAUCCACUGUAUAAUGAUGAUGUGAUUUAUCUAUACAAUUUCUCUACGUACUUUAUAAAGGGAUCAACUCUGGAAGGUAUUAGAAGAGCAUGUUUCAAUCCAAAAGUGUUGUUGUGCUAAGUCAGGGGUGAAUAGCUUUGUGUUGUCUAUAGAUGGCACCACUGAGCUGUUACUGAAGCAAAUACACUAAUGCUGAUUAAGACAUUACAAAUGAGUGCAAUCAAAUAACAUGCUGCUGGGAUGCUAAAGUAUUUUUCUAUAGAACUGUUUGAUUUUGUAAGUGAGUUUCAAAAAAAGCUCUUUUUUGUAUAUUUACAUUAAGAAAUAAAAUAUUAAGUGAUUAGAUUUUGCAGACCUGAAUGACUGAAUGCCUAUAAAUAAAAACGAGACAAAAAAAGGCACGCACACGGCACAGCCCAAGUUCAAUAAUACACCCUGUGUUGGUUAACAUUCAUCUUCCACCCUCCCUCGCCCUCCGCACUUCCUCGGACACCUGUUUCUCCGGCUCUUUCAGCUCGUGGGGCAAUUUGCAUCUGAAUUAGGACAAAUUCCCACAGCGUUAUCCAGUGCCUUUUAAGCCUCGUUUAGACAUCUGAAUGGAGGCUGACUGUGACUCCAUGAUGGAGAUCAGCUGUGCUACUGCAUGGUUAAGUCUUUAAAUGAAACUUUAUUGAUCACAUACACAGUUGCACGUAUUAAACAUGCUCUAACACACAGGUAAUUCCAGUAAAAUGGUACUGUAUAAUAUAAAAAGUAUAAGAAUGGAGUGCAACGCAACACUUGCCGUGUUUCAUCUCAAUGUGAAGAGAAUCGCCUCCCAGUUAGCCAUGUCCCUUCCUGUCUUCAUCCGUCACCUCAUCAUCAACAGGUGAGUGGGACAUGGGAGUGGUCAUGUUCGACUUUUGCACAGCGCUUAACUUCUUUUUACACUUUUUAUUGCAGUUGUAGGAGCGACUGGGCUUUCAGCAAUCUCUUCCUAAUAGCUUGCUAAGCGCUUCAUGAAAGGGCAAACUCACCCAAGCACACCUUGCUGUGCAUACCGGAGCCUUCCCAACCUUCCCUUCUCUGACCUGACGCUACGUUUUCUUCUUUUAUUGGAGGCACGCGUGGGACAGGAAGAAGAGUGUCUGCAGAGGUCAAAGGUGGCACAGAUGCUCUUUCAGUGCACACUGACCAGGAAGUAUGUGUGAGCCCCUUUUAAUGGUUUUCCUCAGGAUAACGGUAGCGACCCUGCUAGGUGUGUAAUCAUCAUUAUCGUCAGCUCAAAAUCCCUGUUUUUUUUGUUAUUGUUCUAGUAGAAGGGACUUGAAGUGGCCGUGUGCAUGUCAAGGCCUGCAUUAAAGUCAGGAAUCCCCAUAAGCAGGCAAAAAGUGGGGAUUGUGUGGGAUUUAACAUGAGUAUUUCAGCAUAAUUAGUAUGUGAUAUAAUAAUGUCAUAGAAGUAUGUGUUAAUAUAAUUAGAUUCAGUGUGAUUCAGUAAAUCAGUCUCUCAAAAUGAAUAUGAUGCAGUUAUUAACUAUUUUGCCAAGUAAUCCAUCAAGUGAGUAAUUACAAGUAGUCCAGAAGAAAUAAUGUAGUAUUAACCAGAAAUUGAAUAAAAGGAACAACUGUUUUAAGUGAGUCAAAGGUCAUGCAAAAAUAUUGUUGAAGGUCAUAGAGAAGCAAGCCAGCCUUGGGAGUAUAUAUUGUUCGGUAUAUAUUGUUCGGGACAUCGCAUCAGCAAAGAGAAACUUCGUCAAGGAAUGAUGAUUUAUUGUUAAUCCUAUUUUCAUUCAUUCAUUUUCUACCGCUUA